This 67-nucleotide transfer RNA is filed under the name marine eukaryotic metagenome. It matches the Rfam family "tRNA". Rfam says of the family: Transfer RNA (tRNA) molecules are approximately 80 nucleotides in length. Their secondary structure includes four short double-helical elements and three loops (D, anti-codon, and T loops). The record is from RNAcentral.
CUAUGUAGCUCAGUUGGUAGAGCAUUUCACUCGUAAUGAAAAGGUCGUCAGUUCAAUUCUGACCAUA